RNAcentral lists this ribosomal RNA (442 nucleotides) under uncultured bacterium. RNAcentral describes it as "partial 16S ribosomal RNA". It matches the Rfam family "Bacterial small subunit ribosomal RNA", at positions 338 to 795 of the family's 1533-position model. The record is from RNAcentral.
CCUACGGGAGGCAGCAGUGGGGAAUAUUGGGCAAUGGGCGCAAGCCUGACCCAGCAAUGCCGCGUGAAGGAAGAAGGCUUUCGGGUUGUAAACUUCUUUGACAGGGGAAGAGCAGAAGACGGUACCCUGAAAACAAGCCACGGCUAACUACGUGCCAGCAGCCGCGGUAAUACGUAGGUGGCAAGCGUUGUCCGGAUUUACUGGGUGUAAAGGGCGUGUAGCCGGGAAGGCAAGUCAGAUGUGAAAUCUGGAGGCUCAACCUCCAAAUUGCAUUUGAAACUGUUUUUCUUGAGCACUGGAGAGGCAGACGGAAGUCCUGGUGUAGCGGUGAAAUGCGUAGAUAUAAGGAGGAACACCAGUGGCGAAGGCGGUCUGCUGGACAGCAACUGACGGUGAGGCGCGAAAGCGUGGGGAGCAAACAGGAUUAGAUACCCCUGUAGUC